CGUAGGUUGAAAACUGCGGGGAUGAGCUGUGGGUAGGGGUGAAAGGCCAAUCAAACUCCGUGAUAGCUGGUUCUCCCCGAAAUGCAUUUAGGUGCAGCGUCGCAUUAGCUUGGUGGAGGUAGAGCUACUGGUUGGUUGAGCGGGACUACAAUCUUAGCAAUGUCAGCCAAACUCCGAAUGCCAUUAAUGUGUUGUGCGGCAGUGAGACUGUGGGGGAUAAGCUUCAUAGUCGAGAGGGAAACAGCCCAGAUCGCCGGUUAAGGCCCCUAAGGGUGUGCUAAGUGGAAAAGGAUGUGGGAUCGCGAAGACAGCCAGGAGGUUGGCUUAGAAGCAGCCAUCCUUGAAAGAGUGCGUAAUAGCUCACUGGUCGAGUGGUUCUGCGCCGACAAUGUAGUGGGGCUCAAGCACACCGCCGAAGCCGCGGUAAUAAUAUUUUGUUAUUGGGUAGGGG
RNAcentral lists this ribosomal RNA (451 nucleotides) under Corynebacterium striatum. RNAcentral describes it as "partial 23S ribosomal RNA". It matches the Rfam family "Bacterial large subunit ribosomal RNA", at positions 783 to 1234 of the family's 2925-position model. Lineage: Bacteria; Bacillati; Actinomycetota; Actinomycetes; Mycobacteriales; Corynebacteriaceae. The record is from RNAcentral.